ACACCUACUUGGCAGGGGAGAUACCAUGAUGAUGCAGGUGGUUUUCCCAGGGAGAGGCUUAUCGAUUACAUUCCAGAUGUGCUGGCCCCUCAGUUUCCCCAAAUGCGGGAAAUGCACAUGUAUGAUUUGUGGUAAUGGGGAACUGCAUUCAUGCUCUCCCUGA
Molecule: small nuclear RNA, 163 nt
Organism: Apodemus sylvaticus (European woodmouse)
Lineage: Eukaryota; Metazoa; Chordata; Mammalia; Rodentia; Muridae
Product: U1 spliceosomal RNA
Exons: 1
Source: RefSeq, a predicted model, not a curated record